Molecule: ribosomal RNA, 484 nt
Filed under: uncultured bacterium
Lineage: Bacteria
Description: bacterial SSU rRNA
Rfam family: Bacterial small subunit ribosomal RNA
Source: RNAcentral
UGAACGCUAGCGACAGGCCUAACACAUGCAAGUCGAGGGGCAACACGAAUCAAGCUUGCUUGAUUGGUGGCGACCGGCGCACGGGUGCGUAACAGGUGUGCAAUCUGUCCAUAAUCGGGAAUAGCCCAGCGAAAAGUUUGGAUUAAUGCUCCAUGUGAGUGAUUGAGGCAUCUCUUUCAUUUGAAACGUAAGGAUUAUGGGUGAGCACGCUUCUGAUUAGGUAGUUGGUGAGGUAACGGCUCACCAAGCCGACGAUCAGUAGGGGUUCUGAGAGGAAGGUCCCCCACAUUGGAACUGAGACACGGUCCAAACUCCUACGGGAGGCAGCAGUGAGGAAUAUUGGUCAAUGGACGGAAGUCUGAACCAGCCAAGUCGCGUGAAGGAUGAAGGUUCUAUGGAUUGUAAACUUCUUUUGUCUGAGGGUAAAAAGCGGACGUGUCCGUUCUUGCAAGUAUCAGACGAAUAAGCAUCGGCUAACUCCGUG